UGAGUGGGGCGUUGGUAAGGCAACGGGUUUUGGUCCCGUUAUUCGGAGGUUCGAAUCCUUCCGUCCCAG
This 69-nucleotide transfer RNA is filed under the name Allium fetisowii. RNAcentral's name for it is "tRNA-Gln". It matches the Rfam family "tRNA". Rfam says of the family: Transfer RNA (tRNA) molecules are approximately 80 nucleotides in length. Their secondary structure includes four short double-helical elements and three loops (D, anti-codon, and T loops). The record is from RNAcentral. Lineage: Eukaryota; Viridiplantae; Streptophyta; Magnoliopsida; Asparagales; Amaryllidaceae.